Molecule: ribosomal RNA, 282 nt
Filed under: uncultured prokaryote
Description: partial 16S ribosomal RNA
Rfam family: Bacterial small subunit ribosomal RNA
Source: RNAcentral
UACGGAGGGGGCUAGCGUUGUUCGGAAUUACUGGGCGUAAAGCGCACGUAGGCGGAUCGGCAAGUUAGGGGUGAAAUCCCGGGGCUCAACCCCGGAACUGCCCUUAAAACUGCAGGUCUUGAGUUCGAGAGAGGUGAGUGGAAUUCCGAGUGUAGAGGUGAAAUUCGUAGAUAUUCGGUGGAACACCAGUGGCGAAGGCGGCUCACUGGCUCGAUACUGACGCUGAGGUGCGAAAGCGUGGGGAGCAAACAGGAUUAGAUACCCCCGUAGUCCCUGAGCGGG